Molecule: ribosomal RNA, 264 nt
Filed under: Paludibacteraceae bacterium
Lineage: Bacteria; Pseudomonadati; Bacteroidota; Bacteroidia; Bacteroidales; Paludibacteraceae
Description: partial 16S ribosomal RNA
Rfam family: Bacterial small subunit ribosomal RNA
Source: RNAcentral
ACAACGGUGAGUUUGAUCGUGUCUCAGGAUGAAGGCUAGCGACAGGCCUAACCCAUGCAAGUCGAGGGGUAACAGGGGAGCUUGCUCCCGCUGACGACCGGCGCACGGGUGAGUAACGCGUAUGCAACCUGCCCACGGGAUCGGGAUAGCCCCCCGAAAGGGGGAUUAACACCGGAUGAGGCGGACGAGGGGCAUCCCUUUGUCCGUCAAAUGCGAAGCUCGUGGAUGGGCAUGCGUCCGAUUAGCUAGUUGGCGGGGUAACGG